Molecule: long non-coding RNA, 349 nt
Organism: Zingiber officinale
Lineage: Eukaryota; Viridiplantae; Streptophyta; Magnoliopsida; Zingiberales; Zingiberaceae
Exons: 3
Source: RefSeq, a predicted model, not a curated record
GCCUGAGGUACACGCGGUGCCCUAGUUGAGAUCUUGCAGUGGGUGCGAUUGAUUCCAAUCCGUGUCUCCUCAAGUUGGAUCGGAUUGGGCGACACCUCCUGGAGGCAACCGAUCGAGAGGUAUCCGGUUGGUGGACAGCAGCUGGAUUAGGGCAGUGAGGUGAGGUGCUGUUUUGGUGGAGUAUUUUCUUGAUUCCGGCCACCACAUCCCUGUCAACAAAUUGGCACAUCUGAGGCAAGUGGUCUUCCUGUUGAUGAUGUCUUAAUCCGGUCCAGUGAGGAGGAAUUCCAGUAUCUUGCUGUGGUGUUCUUUGAUCCAGUGAUAAUACCUUGUGUGGAUCAACAGAAGG